This 496-nucleotide ribosomal RNA is filed under the name uncultured bacterium. Its description in RNAcentral is "partial 16S ribosomal RNA". It matches the Rfam family "Bacterial small subunit ribosomal RNA", at positions 29 to 507 of the family's 1533-position model. The record is from RNAcentral.
AUGAACGCUGGCGGCGUGCCUAAUACAUGCAAGUCGAGCGAACGGACGAGAAGCUUGCUUCUCUGAUGUUAGCGGCGGACGGGUGAGUAACACGUGGAUAACCUACCUAUAAGACUGGGAUAACUUCGGGAAACCGGAGCUAAUACCGGAUAAUAUUUUGAACCGCAUGGUUCAAAAGUAAAAGACGGUCUUGCUGUCACUUAUAGAUGGAUCCGCGCUGCAUUAGCUAGUUGGUAAGGUAACGGCCUACCAAGGCAACGAUGCAUAGCCGACCUGAGAGGGUGAUCGGCCACACUGGAACUGAGACACGGUCCAGACUCCUACGGGAGGCAGCAGUAGGGAAUCUUCCGCAAUGGGCGAAAGCCUGACGGAGCAACGCCGCGUGAGUGAUGAAGGUCUUCGGAUCGUAAAACUCUGUUAUUAGGGAAGAACAUAUGUGUAAGUAACUGUGCACAUCUUGACGGUACCUAAUCAGAAAGCCACGGCUAACUACGUG